UAUGCUGUCAUGGUGCUCCCCCUUCUAACCCCCGCCCUCUGAGCAGAUAUCAGUUAUAGGAGCUGGUAUCUUUCGCCAUAUUGAAUCUGCUGUCACCUCUGGAAUGUAAUUUCCAAGACUGGUUAUAUUUCCAUCUAGUCCAUUCCACAAACCCCCCUGUCCCCCAAGAGUAAAGGGAAAAAACUAAUGGGACUUAGAGCUGAAGAGCCAAGUCAGCCUUCCAACAAAACAAAGCUAGAAAUUAGCAUUUCCGGUAGCAGCCCUAGACCAUCAGUGUGAUGAACACACUUGGGAGAAGGCAGUUUGCAGCUUUUGGGGCUAAAAUUGGAUUGCUGGAAGAACAAGGUGCAAGAACAUAGAAACAAGAAUCUAAUGGCACUUGACAUACUGGAGAAAACUCCACAUCUUCAUGAGCAAAGAUCAUGAUGAUGGGGAUUGAAGCGGCGUGGGGAAGAAAACUACAGCUUUCAGCUACGCAGCUCCCAAGAGAACAGUCCUGCAAAUCCUGGUAGGAAGAGCCAGCUCCCUGUGCUACUGCCUCAGGAUCCAUGAAGACAGAGCCCGAUUUCCACACCAAGCCCGGGGUUUCCAAAAUAUAUAUCCUCUUUCUGCACCAGUUCAGUCCAGGAACCCUUCCCCCCGGACAGGAGGAUGCAUAAGAAACUCAUGAUGAAUCUUGAGAGGUUUCCAUUAUUUGUCUUCCUUCCAUUGUGGUUCCUCCUUCCCCUGAACCAAGG
Long non-coding RNA from Mauremys reevesii (Reeves's turtle), 737 nucleotides. RefSeq lists it as uncharacterized. NCBI's taxonomy places the organism in Eukaryota, Metazoa, Chordata, Testudines, Geoemydidae. The transcript is spliced from 3 exons. The record is from RefSeq and is a predicted model, not a curated record.